Non-coding RNA from Salvelinus sp. IW2-2015, 155 nucleotides. Lineage: Eukaryota; Metazoa; Chordata; Actinopteri; Salmoniformes; Salmonidae. The record is from RefSeq and is a predicted model, not a curated record.
UUAUAUAACAGGAUGGAUGGUGUAUUAUGGUCUCAUGUUAUUGUGUUAUAUAACAGGAUGGUGUAUUAUGGUCUCAUGUUAUUGUGUUAUAUAACAGGAUGGAUGUUAUUAUGGUCUCAUGUUAUUGUUAUAUACAGGAUGGUGUUUAUGGUCUC